RNAcentral lists this ribosomal RNA (888 nucleotides) under Salmonella enterica subsp. enterica serovar Potsdam. RNAcentral describes it as "partial 23S ribosomal RNA". It matches the Rfam family "Bacterial large subunit ribosomal RNA", at positions 349 to 1238 of the family's 2925-position model. Lineage: Bacteria; Pseudomonadati; Pseudomonadota; Gammaproteobacteria; Enterobacterales; Enterobacteriaceae. The record is from RNAcentral.
GGCGCGCGAUACAGGGUGACAGCCCCGUACACAAAAGCGCAUGUGCUGUGAGCUCGAUGAGUAGGGCGGGACACGUGGUAUCCUGUCUGAAUAUGGGGGGACCAUCCUCCAAGGCUAAAUACUCCUGACUGACCGAUAGUGAACCAGUACCGUGAGGGAAAGGCGAAAAGAACCCCGGCGAGGGGAGUGAAAAAGAACCUGAAACCGUGUACGUACAAGCAGUGGGAGCACAGGUUUACCUGUGUGACUGCGUACCUUUUGUAUAAUGGGUCAGCGACUUAUAUUCUGUAGCAAGGUUAACCGAAUAGGGGAGCCGUAGGGAAACCGAGUCUUAACCGGGCGUUAAGUUGCAGGGUAUAGACCCGAAACCCGGUGAUCUAGCCAUGGGCAGGUUGAAGGUUGGGUAACACUAACUGGAGGACCGAACCGACUAAUGUUGAAAAAUUAGCGGAUGACCUGUGGCUGGGGGUGAAAGGCCAAUCAAACCGGGAGAUAGCUGGUUCUCCCCGAAAGCUAUUUAGGUAGCGCCUCGUGAAUUCAUCUCCGGGGGUAGAGCACUGUUUCGGCUAGGGGGCCAUCCCGGCUUACCAACCCGAUGCAAACUGCGAAUACCGGAGAAUGUUAUCACGGGAGACACACGGCGGGUGCUAACGUCCGUCGUGAAGAGGGAAACAACCCAGACCGCCAGCUAAGGUCCCAAAGUCAUGGUUAAGUGGGAAACGAUGUGGGAAGGCCCAGACAGCCAGGAUGUUGGCUUAGAAGCAGCCAUCAUUUAAAGAAAGCGUAAUAGCUCACUGGUCGAGUCGGCCUGCGCGGAAGAUGUAACGGGGCUAAACCAUGCACCGAAGCUGCGGCAGCGACACUCAGGUGUUGUUGGGUAGGGGAGCG